RNAcentral lists this non-coding RNA (24 nucleotides) under Arabidopsis thaliana (thale cress). Lineage: Eukaryota; Viridiplantae; Streptophyta; Magnoliopsida; Brassicales; Brassicaceae. The record is from RNAcentral.
ACCGGCGGUGUCAAGAGCCACUAC